This 497-nucleotide ribosomal RNA is filed under the name uncultured bacterium. Its description in RNAcentral is "bacterial SSU rRNA". It matches the Rfam family "Bacterial small subunit ribosomal RNA", at positions 899 to 1397 of the family's 1533-position model. The record is from RNAcentral.
ACUCAAAGGAAUUGACGGGGCCCCGCACAAGCGGCGGAGCAUGCGGAUUAAUUCGAUGCAACGCGAAGAACCUUACCUGGGUUUGAAAUAUGCCGGAAACACCUAGAGAUAGGUGCCCCUUUUAGGUCGGCUUACAGGUGGUGCAUGGCUGUCGUCAGCUCGUGUCGUGAGAUGUUGGGUUAAGUCCCGCAACGAGCGCAACCCUCGUCCAAUGUUGCCAGCGGUUCGGCCGGGAACUCAUUGGAGACCGCCGGGGUCAACUCGGAGGAAGGUGGGGAUGACGUCAAGUCAUCAUGCCCCUUAUGUCCAGGGCUUCACGCAUGCUACAAUGGCCGGUACAAAGAGCUGCCAACCCGCAAGGGCGAGCGAAUCUCAAAAAGCCGGUCUCAGUUCGGAUUGGGGUCUGCAACUCGACCCCAUGAAGUCGGAGUCGCUAGUAAUCGCAGAUCAGCAACGCUGCGGUGAAUACGUUCCCGGGGCUUGUACACACCGCCCGU